AUACCCCUUUUUUCCGGAUCGCAGGUCAGCGACGGGCGGUCGAGCGGCGAUUGCAGGUCGGCGGCGCGCGGCCGCCGGCUUGGGCUUCCUCGGCGCGUCGGGCGGCAGGCGGCGGGGUCCCUCCAGCUUCCUCCGACGGCGGGCGACAAUGACGCCCUGUUUCAGCGGCGUGCGACGGGCUCGACGGGGCCAUCCAUUGCCUGGAUCCGGCGGCGGCGGCCGUCCCUCGCCCGGCCCCGCACAGAUCCACUAGCGGUUGCGGGAGGAGAGCCCAGGGGUAGACUCGGCGAUGGCUGGCGGACAACGGUCGUGCACCGCGUGGAAAGCGGCUCAGGUGAAAUUCAAGGAGGCGACAGGCUUGACGCGAUGGGCAGCAUUGCACUAAGGGCUACCGCGCCGAGCAUGUCGUCUGGAGGCCAUGUCGCUGACCCGAGUCCGGAAGGUUUUAUUGCUGGCCUCUUUGGUGAUUCAAGCUCUGCAUAUCGCCUGACGGUCAGGUCGGCGGAGGCAGGUGCCUUCCACCUGGUGCACGUUCGUGGGAACCACCUGAGAACAUCAUCAACAGUCUUCCUUUUGAAUGUCGACAUUGUUCUAUCGCCAGAAUCAAUUGUUUUUCUUCUGAGUAAUUUUUUUACUUCUAGAUUAACUGUGUAACAUUUUACUGGUGGAUCAUAUGAUCCACUGUAAAGGCUCCUUGUAGUUUUCAGACUCACAAAGUCAAAUGAUCCGGUGAGAUUUUUUAUUAUAUAAUGUAAUAAUAUGCAU
Molecule: long non-coding RNA, 765 nt
Filed under: Oryza sativa Indica Group (long-grained rice)
Lineage: Eukaryota; Viridiplantae; Streptophyta; Magnoliopsida; Poales; Poaceae
Description: lncRNA OsZS97_06G019960
Source: RNAcentral